AUUGGCUGGAGCCGGCCCUCGGUCCCGCCCUUGGAGCGGGGGUGGGCAGGGAAGGGAGAGGGCGGGCGCGCGCGACCGGCUCGCGGCCCCUCCGGGCUUCUGUGGCUGGUGCGCGCGCGCGAGGGGAGCGCGAGGCGCUCGCCCGCGGGGCGGGGACUGAGCCUGAGGGGAGCGUGAGGGAAGCAAACAUGGUCUCUCUCCUGAGGAGCCACAAGAGUGGACAGCACAAUAAAGGCAAGAACAAAAUACUCCUAAGAGAACUUGUGAUCUGCAUAAGCCUUGAAAGUCCUGGUUGUGACAACACCAGCUUCAGAUGUAGCUGCAACCCACAGAACAAUACAUCAUGACGAUUUGGCCAGAUGGAGGUCUGCCUUAGCUUCUCUUCAAACUUUGACAUGGGCUUGGCAAAUCCACCACCUUGGAAGAGAAAAGGACCUCCAGCAGCAUAUGGGACCUCUCUGUUGUGAAUUCCAGUAGGACAUUAGGGAUCUCAGCUAUACAGCUCAUCAAAACAUGUCAUGCCUCACAGCCAGACAUCUGAUGAUGCAUAGAAUGAUUCAUUGCUGCAUCUGGGAAGAAGGAUGAGAGUGACCACAGCACUCGCACCUCUGCAUAUCACUGUGGGAUCUGUGCCCCAGGGCCUGGGAAAGCUUGUGCUGCCAUUUGGAGGAAUGCCAGCAGCAGAUUCAGCGGCAGCUUGGAGAACCAAAGCUGUGUGGUACCCAACAGCAUCACAGUUACAUUAGACAGAUGCUGAAACAACUGAUUUAGGAACUAAGUUCAAGAAGUGCUGCUCUGGACCCAAUGUGCACCUUUUCUGCUGAGAAAAAAAGAUCUUCUGAGCUACUUUGCAGUUUAUCAGCACCACAUGGGAGCAGAGAAAGUAUUGUAAGCAAAGUGUGAUUGAUUGUUAUGUUAUUUCCUCUCCCCCCUUCUCUAGUGCUGGGUUCAAGCAGGCAAUUUUGUACCAGUGACACAGCCAUUACUUUAGGUAGAGGAUUUUCUCCCAGCUUCUCAACAACAGCAUAAAAGAUUAGCAUGCUUUCUGGGCAUGCAAAGUAUCAAAAUACUCUAUCUUAGCAAUUGGCUCUGCUAUGAGAAAUAAUUCUAGCUCAUCAACCAUUUAAAGCAAAAAUUACUGUAUUUCCAGGUUUGCACAAGAUCAGGAAAAAAUCCAACUUAAUUUUUACUCCAAGCGCAAUAUCUGGAAGAUUCCUGUCACUUGGAGGUUUUAGGACUGUCUAACAGAUAAUUCAAAUAAGAAUAAGCUCUUCCAAACAUAAGUCCUUAAUUUGUUUUCUUAUUCCUGCAAAUAGAUUUUCCCACGCAUUGUUUUGCAAGGCUCUUUGAAACCUGCAUUUAUGCUAAAUGAAGAGCUAGUGGAUAAGAUUUUUUUUCUUUGUGAAAUAAUGAAAAAGCCUAUUUAAACCUUUGUAAGAGGUUUCCUUCUUCCACGUGUGCAUGCCAAGGCUAUGGCUGCCAAGGCUAUUGCUAAGAAAGGUUUGAGUCAGGGAUGGAUAACUUGCUUAGCACACUGACAGGGUAUGCAGGAUGUCAGUAAAAUACUCCCCAUGCAGAAUGUUUGAACUGUGCAUCUAUCCUCUUGUGACUAGAAAAUUGUACAAGAGGACAAUUCCCCUCCUCCUGGAGGUUCAUUGUUGAGAACAUGAUGACAAAACCACAGCCACGUAGUGUGUCAACACAAGAGCAGAACCAGGCCACCUCUUCUUCCCUGUUAUUAACCUAUUUGGCUUGGGACAUCCUAUAUUUGUCUUUAGAAGGACACCAGUGUCCCCUUACCUACCUGGUCAUUGCUGUUCCCUGGCACAGCCCCAGCAGUCCUGUUAUCCCAAGGUGAGAGGCAGAGGUGCAGCACUGAUGGCACCAGCUGGGUCAGGCCAUUCUGGCACUUGUGCAUGACCAGUUUGUCAAUGCAGCCUGCUGCCAAUCCUGCCUCUUGCUGUCCUUCAAAAUCACUCCUUGUGGCUGCAUGGCUGCAUGCCACAGUAAGACACUGCUCAGUUAAAGUUCAAACUGAAUUUGUAGCCAAAAAAAACAAUUCCUGGUCCCUUCCUGUCCUGGAUUAGAAUGACUUCAAAACAAAUAGGGUGACCUCAAAAAACAAAAAUAGAAGUGCUCUGCAGUCAUCACCUGCCUUCCUAGAAAACCCAGUUUCCAUCAUUUGUACCUACUGGCAAGCCUCACAGGAGCUUCAGUUUUGUAUGGCUACACAUCCCAGCAAGCCAGCCCUGAAGUGAAUGACUUGCUCCUGCAAUGUUCUGUCCCCCCCACUGAAACCUGCAGGGGUCUGUUAGACCUAUUUUUCCCUGUUGAAAAACCAUCCAUCUUCAUGUAAACUUGGUAGAGUCACAACCUGAAAAGAAUUUUUUUUCUUAAUAGGUUUUUCAUUCACACUUUUAUUGGGAUCUACAUCUUCCUCUCACAGUGCAGAAUGACUUGGGUCUUAGGAUCUCCCCAUGGAUUUUAUUACACCAAGGGUGGGAUUUCACUACAGACACCUGUGUCUCGGCUCAGCCCAAACUCCUGUGUGCGGUCAACAGCACCAAGGGCAAGGUUCACUUAAUCCUGAAAAUUCUUCAAACAACUACUAGUUUCUUUCCUUUGGCCAUAAAAGGAACCCAGACUGGCUAGCUUGGUGUACAUCUCUACUUUGCAGAUAUCUAGAAUACUGAUGUACACUAUGGAAAAUUACUCUGAAAUUAUCCUCCUGAUUACAGUCUCACUGUUCACACAAAUGAAGGGAAAGCUAAGCAAGCCAGAACACUCUUUUUUUCCAGCAGGAGGGCCAAACUUCCUUUUGGUUUGUAACCUUUGCAGCAAGGUUUCUUUCUUUUAAAGGGGAAACAUACGAAGUUAGAGACACCUAAAUUCUGUAUAGUCCUCAACACCUUGGGUGAGACAAUCUCUGUUAUGUCCUUAAAGAGCAUUUGCACUCCUGAGAAAAGCAAAAUGCUUGCACAAGGAUCAGUCCAUAUGUUUUCUCAGUUCUGGCCCUUACAGGGGCUUUUUGGUCAGACACAUAAUUUGUCUUCUUUGGUUUCAAACUUGGCAACUUCUUUGUGAUAUGGCCCCCUGGAAAUGCCAGAAGACUGUCAUGCACACACAGAUGAAGAAGUAGCAAUAUUUAGCUGUGUAAAGUCUACCAUGUCUUAAUGGCAAAAGCAAGCUAGGACAGAAGGGAGCUGGUGCAGAUUUGCACUGGGAGGAUGGGAAUGUGUGUUGGCCUGCUGGGAAGAGGGCAGAGGGCCUGUUUUUAGAGGAUGGCCAGGAUUAAGUAGACCAGGUUGUUUGGGGAGGGAUGAAAGUGUCUGUGUCUCCUUGUUUCUUCAGAAAAGAGCUAGAGAAGUAUCAGCAUCAGCACAAAGAUUGAGCACACGUGCUGCAAAGGCAGAAAGGAUGGUAUUUUCUGGUUUAGCCUAGUUGUUGCUUUUGGCUGAUAACCAGUAAAAAUAAAACUUUACUGUCAUUAUUACCACAUUUGAGAGAUCAGUGUGAAGGACAAUCCUGCCACCAGAUAGAGAGUAACACAGGAGAGAAUCUAAUAGCUCUCUCCUAUCCUUUUCUCUUAGACUGUGCUAAAAUGAUUACACUUCCUUAUCUGCAAACUAACAAUAGCUCUGCAGCAGCAUAGGAAAGUUAAACAAGCCUUGAGUCAAGGGGAUGUAGAGAUUACCCCUAGGCACUGAAUAAAGCUCUAGACCACAUAUUCUUCUGGGGAAAAAAUCAACCUGCAAAAGGAACAAGUUUUGAGGUGUUACUCACUUAAAACUCUAGUCCUGUGGCUCAUCAUGUUCCACCUUCAAAUAUCUCCCCCAGGUGCUGUCCACGGGCUAGCAAAAUCACAGACAUGAAGUUUUUUGCCUUUAGAUCAGAAUGUAUCCCCUGUCAAUAGCAGAUAAUGCUCUAGCAGUGGAUUUCAUCAGUGCAAUAACAAAAAUAGGAAAGAAAUCCUGACAUUGAGCCAGCCAUCAAUAGGCAGGCACAGCAUGGUGAUUGAACUAACCUGCCCCCAGGAAUUGUCCUGCUAUGGAGAGGUUUCCUGCACAUGGCAGGGCAGGGAAGAAGUAAGCUGGGAAAUUCCUGCUCUUUUAUUUAUGUUCAGAAUCAGGUAGUUUGCAGCCAAAUGCUAAAUUCUUUCAAAGCAUUCUUAAAGGAAAGACAGAAAUGUAGCUUGAAGCAUGUUGUUUCCUUGCUAGAACUGCAUUAACUCUGAAUAAUUCCAUUGCACUGCACCCUGCUAAGCAGAAUAGAACCUCUCUACUUAGAGAGCUUUUGUGCUGCUAGUUACUGAAGUCACAGACAAUAUAUUUUGCAUUGUACUUUUAUGAUUCUCCUCCCAUGCUACAUCAACUUACUUAAAAUACUACAGACUUCUGAAGAGGAGUUAGUUCCAAGAUGUACUUUUUAAAUGUUCUUAGCUUUCCUCUCUGUAAAGCGUGUGGUGUGCUCUUCCACACCCACCCUUUGGCCUUGAGAAGCCAGUCCCUCAACAAACCAUGCCACGCUCUGUUUGUUUUAGUAAUUCUUACCCAAGGUCUUUAUCUUUGAAUCCUGUUCGUGCAGCUUUGGACAAGAUUCAGUGCUUGGAGGGCAGGGUGAGCGAGGUGGGAAAGAUUUUUUAGUGCCUUUAGUAUUUAAUAUGUUAUCUCGCCUGUGACUAUUAAGUAGAUGAUUUACAAGCUUGUUGACACUGAGAUGGUGUGAGUUUCUGCCCCUUACAGUAGAUGCAAACACUACUUGAAAGAGCAGCUAUAGGAGGGGGUAAGGGCUACAGAGAAGUACAGUUUCCAGCCUGUGCACAAAGCACCCAGGAAGUCUUUGGAGAAAACACUGUAGUAGGUAGCCUACUGCAAGCCCUUCACCUGCUCCUGGCUGGUCUGUUCACAACAGCAGCACACUAAAAUCACAUCCAUCUUCUCUUGCAGCUGCAAAUUCACAGCUUACAGUGCUACUCCACACAGCAAAUUUAUUAAUUAGAAUUGUGUGUCAGUCCCUGACCAGGACACACUUUCUGAGGCCAGGCUGUUGCAGCCUGAGCAGCAUGAGCUGCUGCUGUGGGAGCUUAGCAGCACAGUGCAGGAAUGCUUGGAAUGUUUCAGUCAGCAGGUACUUCAGAGAUCCUUUUCUAGGAAAUGCCUGCACUUCUCAUAGAAGUAGUCUCCCAGCCCACUGCCCCUCUGAGACAGUAACAGUGGGCUCCCUCUUCUCCCCUCCAAGCAUCACACAAAUCAAAAUGUUCUCUCCAGCUCCAGCGUUAACCCCAGUUCCCCUUUGUGAGGCAAAAUCAUCAUUAGAAAUGAAAAUUACACAAAUCAGCAACAUACUGGUGUCUUUCCAAACAUGCUGUGGGUCUGGAUACAACCUUGGAAGGCAGGCUGCUUUUAGAGAGUGAUCCCCUCCAUAGCUGUGGGGCCAAAUGCUUGCAAUCAAUUCAACAGCUUCCAACAGCUAGAAAAACAAGUUGCUCAUUUGCCUGUUUCAAGCAAGAAAUGCUAUCAUAGUUUUAAAGACCAGCUCUGCUUUUGUAAUAAUCUUUCCUAUGCUGUCUCCAUCUUCCCCCUACCUAUCCAACACUGAAACACCUUGCAGACACUAUGAGUUAAAUUUUCUGACAAGCACUUCUCUGAUUUUCCAUCUUUUAAACUUCCCACCUCUGCAAACUAGUGCUUGGUAAAAGACCUUUGUCCCUACCACACUGAUCACUAGCCCAGCAUAUCAAGGACUUGCUCUCCAGUGUCUAGGGCUGUUGUGGGAAAGGAGAUACAGUAUGGAGACCUCUUUAAUACAUCCUAAAACCACUUCCUGAACUAUCCUAACUGUGAAAUACCUCUGUACACUGGAUUAAUUAUUAUAAUUUCUGAAUAGAUAAAAUGACUGUCAAGAAACAUCUUUUGCUCAUUUAUAAUUGGUUAAGAAACUUCACUUCUAGAAGGGAAGGAUGUAAAUCACUGUAUCUGGCACUCAAAUUGACAGGAAGGGUAGAGGUGUCAAAUUGAGGGGAAAUGAAAGCAGGGAUAAUUACCAACUUAGCAGUGCAAACCUCUGGAAAAACACCAGUCAAUAACAUCUCCUUUCUUGUCUCUGGGUUCACUUGUAUUACUUGAAACAUGCCAUCAACCAAAUCAAACACUUGAGGCUCUAUACCACCAUCUGCCCCAUUCAUGGGAUUUGUGUUAGGAACACACGACCAGGGACAAUUGAACCAGCUAUUCCAAAAUACCUUUUAGUUACCCCAUGCAAAUAGAGGUAUCCUAAGUAAGAUGUAGGUACAUAUCUUUUACACAGGUAGGAUGUGCAGAGUUUUCUGAAAGAAUAAUUAAAGCAAAUUUCAGUAUUUCAUACCCAGUUGCAGGCACAGUUGACUUGCUGAAUAUAAAAUAUUAAUUUAACAUAUAAAUAUGAGAGGAAGGAAGAAAUCAAUUCACUUAACUCUAAUUUUCUCUAUGCUAGUAAUCUACUAAAAUCCAGUAAUCUUGGUGUUCAAAGGAGAGAUUCCUCCAAUGUUCAACCCAUUUGUUGUCACUGUUGCCCUAUAGCACUGGCAGAGGGGAGCUCAAUCCUUCCCAGGCAUGUAGGGCAUUUGGAAAGGCUUGUUGGAUAGGAUGCCUCCAUUUCAGUAUCAUGAAACCACUCCUGAAACAAGCUGCUGCUGCCUGGGGCUCAGCAGGAAAGGGGCUCUGCCAAAGCCAUUGGAUUUGGGAUCCUCCAGUGUGGCAGUUAGAGACAGACAGAGCUGCAGUGCUGAGCCAAGGAGCCUGGAUAGCAAAGCUGCAGCCCCAGCACUGCUGAGAGGUGGGGUGGCACUCCCGGCUGGAACAUCCAGGACUGUAGUGUGCCAGGCAAGCUGCCUUUGGGCAGGUUUCCCAAAUGCUGUACCCAGAGACAGAAUGUACAGAGCAUGCCCUGCACAGAGAACGCCACUGUUGUGCUGCAGCUACUCCUCUGGGACCCAAUGUCACACACAGAUCCUGAGCAAAGGGAGAAAUCCAUCUGCAAAGGACACAUCUAGAGAAGCUCUGAACUGCAACAGGAUGGGCAGUGCCCAGUCAGGUACUUCUUGUUUGUUUUGUACUCCUGUAGGCAAGAGAAUCCAUCCUCAGCUUUUCCCUGAAGCAAAGCUAAGUAAUGGGGCCCUGCCUAGAUUGCUAAAGGGAAAGUAGGGCCCAUCCUCCAUGCAUACUGGAAUGAACUUGAGGGAAAAUGUUAGAAAUAGCCACCUGAGCUCUUGCAUACCACUUCUAGGGCCCAAGAGAGAGCUACGUCAGCAAAAUUAGGGCAGCUUCAAAGGUUUUAUUAACUCAACAGUGUACUGACAUCCACACUACAAGCUUUGGUGAACCCGCCAAGUGUGUGGUGGAGUUGGUAGAACAGAUUUCACUUGGUCUCUCAGUGGGUCUGCCACUGACUAGAACUUCAAAAAAGAUGAAAAAUGUUACCUGCUCAGACUAGUUUGUAUGGAUGGUGCCACAGAUGUUAGAGAAGGAGUAAAUUUGACAUGUCUUAACUUGUACAGAGAGAGGGAUUUUCUUUAAAUCAUUAUCGGUCUACCAGUCAUAAAAUCUCAGAUUUCUGUUUGUGCAUGACACUUCUUAAAACAGAGGCAUUAUACUGUAUGUAUAGUUAAAAUCCAGACUCUGGGGAACUGCAAAAUUUACCAUUUCUUCGUCUUCUGAAGAAAUGGCUUCUAGGAAAAAACCCAACUCUGGAGAGAGGGCAAAUUUUUCACAGAAUUGUGAGAGGAAACACAAAAAUCCCUUACUCUUGUAUUUCUGCUUUCUACCACAUGGUGUGAUUGCUUAUGUCUUUCACUGCAUGAGAAAAUGGUUUCACAGUUGCCUGGAAAUCUCAGUGCAAGGUCCCUCCGCCUUAGCAGAGUUGAGUCUCGUUAAUCUUUCCAAGGUCUCCCCUGUCCACUGUCUGUUUCCCUUCCUUCUCCUGGGCCAUCGCUGUCUGUUAUUCUCUCCUGCCAAGGUCAUCUUACCUCUGUGCUUGUUCCAUUCGCUCUACCUCCUCCCCACUUCUCGUGUUACCAUCUUUCAUGCAAAUGCCACUCACCUUCUCUGUUAUCUCUUGCUAACUCAUUCAGUCUUUAUCCCUUUCCAGAGCAGCUGAAAGGCAGGAAAUUAGUAGAAAUAGAAGAAACAACAGCUUUCAAACAUGGCUACAGGACCAAUGUUUCUGCUGUCCCUCAUAAGUGAAAGUCUUUGCAAAGAAACUUUGCCUUUCUGCUGUGGGUGAAGACAUUGUGUUCUCACACAGCAUCUCAGUUUGCAACAAAAAGAUUUGUACAUGCUGACAGUAAGAGCAGAGGAGAGAGAGAGCAGGAAGGGCUGGGAGGCUGUGUUCAGUUUGAACUGCAACAAAUAGUACUUCCAACUGGGAAUAAGGACAGUCCAUGGUGUCAGCUGCUCUAUUUCUGAUUCACAGCUCAGGAGGCCUCUAUUUUCCACAGUCUCAUGUUGAGCAGGUAGCGUAACAUGUGCACUUCUGCAAAUGCCAAAGCAGACAAGUGAUGCUCACUCACUGGCAGUGGUCUAGCUAUUGAUAUUCCGAAAUUAGGGAUUCUGCUCCAUCCCUGCAUGCUGAGUGCAGCAGCUUAAAGCACUGUCCCCACCCUUGCUGCAUAGUUUGCUCUCAGUGCAUGAGUGACAUAGGGUGUCCGCUCAGUGCCCCAGCAGCAGGACAAUAGCACAGGAUUUACAGAGCCUGAGGGAAUGAUUUGCUGGAGCAUACAGUGUUGGCCUGGUGCCACUACCAUGGAGGUCAGGGUCGAAUCAACCCUGCUUGUGAAGCAGCUGAUACUAUUGAAAAAUGCCACCCUUGGGCUCUGUGAACUUGGGCUGCUUUCUGUACAGAAUUUUUCUGCUUUCACAGUAGAAUUGAAAACAUCUUUCAUCUGCAGCACUGUGGACAUGAUGGGCAGUAGAGAAGAUCUCUCUAAACCAAUGUCCUUUUCUUCCUUCUUCUCAAUAGCACUUGGGAAUCUGCCCUUUAACCAGACUCCUACACAAACUGACAAAAUCACAAUCCUUUAAUCAGGAACUUCUUUCCUACAUAGAUUUGUAUGCAAGUAAAAGUGAGAGAGCCUGGCAGUUGUCAGAACCCAUCUAAGGCCACAUCCAAAAUUCAGUUGAACUUAGCUUCUUGCAAGAACCUAUCCUGUUUGGUAGUUUUCAUCCCUGUUUAAAUAAAUUCCCAGACUCAAGCAAAAAGGGACCCACUAUGCAUGACUGUCACAGUUUAAGCAUCACUGUUGUGCUUUUAAAUACAGACAUAUCCAGGCACUGCAAUGCCAGCAAGUAGAAGGAACAUCUGAAAAUAACUUUAAAUCUUAAGACACACAAUUGAAGUAAUGAAGCAUGGAAGCAAAGAGUUAAAAAGACACUAAAAUGAAGCCUAAAGAGACUGGCCAACAUCAACAGACAAAAUCUGCUGCAUACCCAGCCUUAACAGAAAGCAGGAAUUCUUUGCCUAGAGAUCUCUUCUGAACAAAAUAUUACAAGACAGAUUAUAAACUGUUUUAAGAGUCUUAUCCCUUGGGUGUUAUCAGCCAACAGGUCUAUAUGCUGAGAUGGCAAAAUGAAGUAAUACACGCUGUUAUCUCAGAGCACAUUAUAAGGCUGAGGUGGAGAUGGUAUUUAUAUUGAGGUUCAUGUCAUGCUUUUUUCAAUAAAAAUGUAAUUCUGUGGCCCUAUAGUAAUUCUUCAGCUGUGGAGGUCCAGAGUCUAAGGUCAGGCCUUCAUAAAUGGGAAUUUACUCAUGCUCAGCUGACUGAUGUUGCCCUUUGAAUGGACACAUCAAUGAUAUGAGUUAAACUGCCUCACCCACUUCCACUUACCUCUUUCCUUUUUUAUUCCAUUUUGUCAAUACAACCUGGAAGCAGCGAUGAUAACUCAGACCUGCAAGAGUGAACUUUGGCUGCUGUGUGAAAUGUUUACCCUGAUCACUGUGUAGUGUCACCCUCCAGGCUGCGAAAUCAACAUGAACUACAUGAUCUAAUAGUUCAGAUAACACUCAACAACACAGACAGAGCAAACUAUCAUGCUCCAACUAGUGCCUCAUGAACUGCAACACUGCUCAGGUGUAAUAUACUCCUCCACCCAAAGAAAGAACACACACAUCUGAAAUCCCACUGUGCCCAUGUACAGAAAUGGGGACAUAAGCAUGGCCUAUAUACUGUUAAAUGGGAGUAGAGGGGGCUGCUCACAACACAAGCUUUUUGCAGGUGCUUCAGCACGGCUGCUUGUACUAACUUAAAAGAGGCUAUACUCAAGAGUUUACCCUGUUUCAGGCUAUGGCUCUAGAACAGUAGUCUCCUAGGAGUGCUGUUGCACUCAUACCUUGCACUGUCCUCAAUCUGUCCUUCAGAAUUCUGCUCGAUGCACCCUGGAAAAUUUCCCAGUGGUUCAGCUGACAGUAGCAUUAAAAAUCACAGCAUGUGUCUGUAGUCUUCUUUGUAUCAGACAUUCAGAUAGCAUGCUGCAGAGAUGCAAUUGUUGCAGCUAUGUGCUCUUAAAAGACUGCAUGUGUCCCAGGGAAUGUCUUUACCAGAGAUGACCAUCUCUAAGCAGGCAGCUGCAGGUCUCAUCCAGUGAAAACAGUUUAUUUCCCUAAAAGCUUUAUAACUUCAAGUCUUUGCUGCAAAUCCCCUACUCAAGUUUUGCCCUUAAUUUGAGGGUCAUCAAUACACAAAACCUCUUCGAUCUUUCUAGUGGCACACCAAAAUAAAGAUUAAUACUAUUAUUCAUGCGGGUCACUGCUAUGACAACCUCCCUGGCACACCAGUUUCCCAGGAAUGCUGUUGAACAGAUACCUUGUGCUGUCCUCCUCAUCUUGUCCUUGAGAAUUCCACCCAUUAUUCGUUGGAAAUUUUCCCAGAGUAGUUCAGCUUACAGCAGUGCUAAGAAUCACAGCACACGUCAGUAGAUGGUUUUAUAUCAGGUGCACUGGGAUACAAUGCAGCAGAGGUUUGAGUAACAAAAAGUUAGCUCUGUUACAUCCCCCCCUCCCCCUUGGUUAUUUAAAAAAGAAAGAAGGAAAGGAAGGAAUAAAUAGUGAAGUAAGUCAACAAGAAACCACAAUCCAUUCCUUAAGUGGUAACCAGGCUACUGUGCUUUGGAACUUUUCCUGACACAACAAAAGACACCAUGAAGACAGGAACUUUGGCAGCAGUGGUUUUGAACUCCACAACCCCCAACUUUCGUCUGUUUUUCUAUGCAUAUGUUACUGGAAAUAUAAUCAUCUGCUAGGGAAGCGGUCAACCCUCCAGACGGAUACCUAACCAGCAGCAAGCCUCUGGAAGUAACCAUAGUAGAAUAAAAAGGAGAUUUUCAGCAAAGCAGCCCUGAGUUCCUGAAUUAACCAAUGUCCUCCUUUGCCUGACCACGGUCACCAUAGUGACCAGAGGAGCUGCCGCCGAGCCACUGCGCUGUGGCUUGGGACGGAGGCAAGUGGGACGCCGUGCUGGGAAUCAAGUGACUUUGACUCAGGGCCCGGUUAUGCAGAUAUAGGCUGUGGGACCAGGCAUUGGGAGCAGCCUUGGGAGUACUGUGAUGGGAAAGGGGGCUUACAGAGCAAAGAGGUGCAAUUCCUGCCCUGAAUGCCAGCCGUGAAGGGCCAGCCCUGCCGGAGCGGUUGCAAGGUUACCAGAGGAGUCAGAAGGUGAAAUAAAAAGAGUUGAUAAUGAGGAGCAUGAGGAAAGAAGACAUUGACGGCAAUGCAGCAAACACGGUUAAACUGGAGCUGGAAUAAGCAGAUUCAUUCCCCUCGACAUCAUUUGUGUGGACUGCUCCCUCUCCUGGGGAAAACCUGAC
This is a non-coding RNA of Taeniopygia guttata (zebra finch), 11834 nucleotides long. NCBI's taxonomy places the organism in Eukaryota, Metazoa, Chordata, Aves, Passeriformes, Estrildidae. The record is from RefSeq and is a predicted model, not a curated record.